AAAUAUGAUGAUGUAGAUUGCAAUGCAUCUUGGAAACAGUAGUCAGUUAACAGCAACAGUGUUCAAUCCGCUUUAUGAAAAAGACUACCUUUCCCAUAAUGCCACAGCUUACAAGAGGACCCGGAAGUCGCAUGAAAUACAAACUGCCACACAUGACGACGUGUGAUCUUCGUUUUGUCUUUAUAUAAUACUGUAAGAAGUCAUGUUCCACACUUCGUCAAACCUGAAGAAGAGUAUCUUCCUGCAAUCUGGGCUCCAGACCUGGAGAUUGAAGUUCCUAAAGGUUGAUGUUUAUCAAGCUUGUGACCUUAUUGCAUGGUGUUAUUUUUCACAUUUGUAUAUCUAACACACAUUUGCAUCUGUAAACAUAAAUUUUAUAUUUCAU
Paramisgurnus dabryanus is the source of this 385-nucleotide non-coding RNA. NCBI's taxonomy places the organism in Eukaryota, Metazoa, Chordata, Actinopteri, Cypriniformes, Cobitidae. The record is from RefSeq and is a predicted model, not a curated record.